GGCCGGGAACUCAAAGGAGACUGCCAGUGAUAAACUGGAGGAAGGUGGGGAUGACGUCAAGUCAUCAUGGCCCUUACGACCAGGGCUACACACGUGCUACAAUGGCAUAUACAAAGAGAAGCGACCUCGCGAGAGCAAGCGGACCUCAUAAAGUAUGUCGUAGUCCGGAUUGGAGUCUGCAACUCGACUCCAUGAAGUCGGAAUCGCUAGUAAUCGUAGAUCAGAAUGCUACGGUGAAUACGUUCCCGGGCCUUGUACACACCGCCCGUCACACCAUGGGAGUGGGUUGCAAAAGAAGUAGGUAGCUUAACCUUCGGGAGGGCGCUUACCACUUUG
RNAcentral lists this ribosomal RNA (336 nucleotides) under Klebsiella pneumoniae. RNAcentral describes it as "bacterial SSU rRNA". It matches the Rfam family "Bacterial small subunit ribosomal RNA", at positions 1129 to 1464 of the family's 1533-position model. The record is from RNAcentral. Lineage: Bacteria; Pseudomonadati; Pseudomonadota; Gammaproteobacteria; Enterobacterales; Enterobacteriaceae.